Pelobates cultripes (western spadefoot toad) is the source of this 6640-nucleotide non-coding RNA. The record is from the annotation of a GenBank genome assembly. NCBI's taxonomy places the organism in Eukaryota, Metazoa, Chordata, Amphibia, Anura, Pelobatidae.
AACUCCUAUCAAUUGAUGUGGUGACCGGAGGAUCGAGAAUCGAGGGGAGUUGAGUCCAGAACAGCAUUUACCCUUUCAGCUUGAUGUCUAGAAGUGGGAUCAGCAAAACCAUUUGCGGUGAGUAGCCUUUUUGUGUCUUAUUGACGCUAAUUGUCUAUGACCCCCUUUAGUUUAGUAAGUCUGUAUCCAGUAGAAAGGAAAGGUAUAAGGACUUAGUUAUAUUGAGACUGUAAAUAGGUCUCCGGUUUAUUAGACAUUUGGUCUAAAUAUAUAUAUAGGGUUCUUGGUAACCCAGGUUAGUAUCUAAGAUAGAUACAGGGUAUCUCAGGUAGAUACAGGUUUUGAGACGAUAAAGGAGUCUCCGUUUAUUAAGACUAUAGGUGUUCUAGGGAACACGGUUUAUAGAUCUAGAAUAACCCAAACUUCUCGUUCCUUUGGUCACCCUGUGUCUGCUUUGUGUUUAUUUUGCUCGUUAAGUAGAGACACACUAUUGGUAAGUAGGUAGUGUCUCUACCCUGAGCCAGAAAUAUGGGAAAUAAUCAGUCUAUUUCUUACCCUUUACCCAGGGGAGUCAUGUCUAAAUUAUGUUACUAGAAUAGGAGCACAAGGAGUAUUUCUUACAAUCCCCUAUGUGUCAAAUUUAGCAGGAUGGACAGAGACUAUGAAGUCAUCUGAUCCUUUUCCCAGGUGUGGGGCUAAUGAUGAUUUCCAUAUGAAUAUGAUUCGAGGAUUGUGUUUGGGAGAUAGGAAGUCACGGCCGUGGUAUGGUCCUGAUCCAGAUUGGGAUAAGGAAUAUAUGAAAGCAGGAGGUGAAAAUUGGUUGCAGAUAGCCCCUCAUUGGUUUCCUUGUAGUGUAACAGGAAAGGUUUUAAAGGGAGCUAAGAAAGACCUGGCUAAGAGAAAGGGAGAAAAGCCCCUCCUGAGAAUCCAUAUCCAGUCAACCCCGGCCAUGCCUAACCACAACCCCCACCUCCCUAUAAAGCAAUGUAUCCUGCUGUACCUAAUGCCCCCUCAGAGGAUGAUACAGAAUAUAUUUCUAUUGCUGCAGCUGUUAAUUCACAAUCACAGCAAUUACAGGAAUCAUCAUCUACACCAGAUUCUGAUAUAGAAUACCCACGCCACCUCCCGGUACAAUUAAAUUAACAGUACAAACAGGAGUUAAACUUAAAAGUGGCAAGGUGUUAAAAUCAUAUGUACAUAAGCAAGGUGAUGAUGAUGUAGAGAUGCCAGAAUUAGAAGGUGCUGAUCUUACUGCCCCGUUUAUGACUGUUGGUAAACAGUUAAUAAUGAAACCCAUUAAUCCUGCAGUACUCAAGGACAUUAUUCAAGGUGCCCCAAACACCUGUACUAAUCCCUCUAAUCCCCCUAAUGUAUCUGAAAAGAAUGUGUUUAGGAAGAACAUGACACAGAUAGACAUACAGUUAAUUAUAAAUGGAAUAUUAGGGUAUGGUUGGGAUUGGUCUAAGGUACCCUCUAUCAGUGAGACAGACAACAGUACUGGAGUUGGAAUGGCUGGCAGUGAUGGUGUUUAUGAGCUUAGUACUUCAGCAGGAUGUGCUAAAAUGUGGGAUGAGGUGGAAGCUGAAAUGUUGAGAUUAUGGAAGAAUAAGCAGUCUAUAUCCACUGCUUUGGCAUGUAAGCAAGGUGCAAAGGAAGAGAUUGGUAUUUUUGUAAAGAGAUUUUACAAGUGUUGGAAGGAUGAGGCAGGUUUGAAGUCUGGAGAUGAUAUGGAUCUCCUUAAAAUACAGUCAUGCCUUGGUAAUAUGUUGCCACGGUAUUCUUUGCUUGUGAAACAGUUGAUUUCAGACUGGGCCAAUUUGGGUGGCUCAGAUUUUCUUACCAAGGUUAUAGAGAAGGAAAAUGCAGGUUGUUUUGAUUUAAAAAAAGAUUCAGGAAGUAAGGUUGCUUAAUUUUCUCAGGGAUUGCAACACUGUCCACCUACACAGGCCCGAGAGAGAGGAUGGGAUGGAGCACAUAGAGCCUGUGGAAGGGGUGGUCAAAGAGGGGCAAGGGGAUGGAGACAGGGAAAUCAGGGUUAUAGGGGCAGAGGUAACCAAGGAGGAAUAGACAGGAACACUUGUUUCAACUGUGGCCAGCAUGGCCACUGGAGGAAUGAGUGUCCACACCCCAGGAAACCCCAGCAGCCCCAACAACCCCACAAUUCUCAAAAUACGCCCGGUAGGCAAGAACAACACCAGGCCCACUCCCAACACCACUGGCCAGCACUUCCCCCUCCCCCCUCACUCCAGCAAACCCAAACUGCACUAGGGCCAUUCACAGGUACCACUGACCAGCACACCCAUCACAUUCCAUGGCCCCAAUAGGGCUGCCUUGAAGGUGACACUCCAACUUUUCCACUUUUGUCCUCUAUUAAUGAUGAUCAGCCUUUUUGUAUUCUGGUCAUAGAAGGUAGAUCCUUGCCAUUUUUGGUAGAUACUGGUAGAUUGCCAUUUUUGUUCCAGUCUCUGUGAUACCUAUUAUCAGGGGACAAGGGAAAAGUCUACACCUUCAUUGGGUAUUAAUGGAGUGUCAACACCCACUUUUGUCACACCACCACUGUCUGUUUUUUGUCCUCUUAAUGGUUCUUCUACUGUGCACCCUUUUCGUCUAAUACCUAAACGUCCUGUUAAUUUGCUGGGAAGGGAUCUUCUUGGUAUUCUGGGAGCUACUAUUACUUGCACGCCCUCUGGUGGUAUUGAUGUGUCUAUGUUGUGUUCUGAAGCUAUUGAUUUGUCUGAUGUUCCUUCCUCUGUGUGGGCUUCAUCUAAGUUAGAUGUAGGAUUUGUCAACUGCACCCCUUACAAAGCCAAACUAAAACCAGAUGUAACUCUUAUCCUUAAACAGUACCCCCUGUCAGAAGCCAAAGUUGAGGGAGUUCGCCCCAUGAUCCAAUCUUUUCUAGAGCAGGGAAUACUAAAGCCAGUAGUUUCCCCAUAUAACACACCUAUUAAUCCAGUUCCUAAAGGUAAUGGUUAUCGCUUAGUUCAGGAGUUUAGAGCCCUGAAUAGUUUAAUUGUGCCCAUUGCACCCAUUGUCCCUGAUGUGACAUCCCUCAUUACAGCCAUUCCACAUGAUGCCACUUGCUUCACUGUCAUUGAUUUAAGUAAUGCAUUUUUUUUCUAUACCUAUUGAUCAAGAGACACAGUUACUUAUGGCGUUUACUUUUGAAGGCUGUCAGUAUACCUGGACACGUUUACCCCAAGGCUAUGUGGAUUCCCCAGCCGUUUAUUCGCUGGUACUACAUACUCUAAAAACCAUGGACCCCCAGUCAUGGUUCCGUCCUUUUGCAAUAUGUUGAUGACUUGUUGUUAUGUAGCCCUAGCUAUGAGGCAAGCACUGUGGAUACUGUCAGUUUGCUCAAACACUUAGCAACUGUGGGUCACAAGGUUGCAAAACACAAAAUGCAAUUGUGUAAAUCAAAGGUUGAUUACUUAGGUUUUAUUCUGGCUUCAGGCACCAGACAAUUGAGUCCAAAACAUAUUGAGGUCAUUCAGAGGAUUCCUAAACCCACUACUCGGAAGGAGUUGCUCACCUUCCUCGGCAUGAUUAAUUACUGCCGCCAGUGGAUCCCUGAAUGCUCCCAUUAUGACUCAAUCCUAAGGGAGGCUGUACGUUCUGACAGCCCUGAAAAUGUCCGCUGGUCACCAGACAUGCUAGCUGCGUAUAUUGCCCUCAAAGUUGCUAUUGUUCAAGCCCCGGCUUUAGGACUACCUGUGUAUUGUACACCAUUUCAUUUGUAUGCUCGGGACAACUGUAAAACCAUGGCCGCGGUCUGUGCACAAGAGCACGGAGGCGGUAUGCGUCCCAUAGCAUUCUUUUCCAAAGUAGUUCCAGCUCCGGUACAGGGUAUGCUGGCGUGUCUCAGAGCAUUGGCAGCAUGUGCAAUGGCUGUUGAGACUGCUACUACUAUCACACGAGGGCAUCCUACAAUACUCCAUACCAGUCACCAGGUCACUCAGCUUAUAAAAAAUCUCACCACACAACACAUGACAGCCCAGCGCUUAAGUGGUUAUGAGAUUAUUCUUCUUAAUACCCAGAAUCUGUCUAUUGUUUAUAGUCCUGUUAAUUCUGGUCCUAUGUCUGUUUUGAAUGCUAUUCUCACUUCUGCAUCUGACUCUGUGUCUAUACCAUCUGAGCCUCAUAAUUGCAUUGAACAAAUACAUAUUGCCACAUCUCCCAGAGCAGACCUCUCCUCCACUGCACUCAGUGGCCCGGAUGUGACCACUGUCUUUGUGGAUGGCUCUUGCUCCAGACCAAAUGAUGGUACAUACCUCACAGGCUAUUCCGUGGUACAGCUACCUGAUAAAAUCAUUGAAGCUGACACUAUUUUCCAGCCGUCUGCACAAGCUGCAGAACUCAUUGCUCUCACACUUGCCUGUCAGCUUUUCUCAGGACAGCGAGUGAACAUUUACACAGACUCACGAUAUGCUCAUGGGGUAGUGCAUGAUUUUGGUGUGAUUUGGAAACAAAGAGGCUUUGUAGGAGCCGAUGGAAAAGCCAUUUCACAUACAAAUCUCAUCCAAUCACUCCUAGAUGCUAUCCUACUCCCAUCUGAAGUAGCUGUUAUCCACUGCAAGGCACACACUCUGGGUAGUGACGACAUUUCCAGAGGUAAUGCCUUGGCUGACAAAGUGGUAAAAGAAGUUGCAGCCAAGACUCUUUACUAUGAAAUGUUUCCUGCUAUGCUCACACCUCCCACAUGCCCUACUGACAGUUUGCUUUUGCAGCUCCAAGCCUUUGCAACGCAAUCUGACUUUGAUUUUUGGAUUAAACAAGGUUUAGAAAAAGAUCAGAAUGAUCUUUUCUCUAAAGAGGGGAAGAUAGGCAUACCUGAAGCCAGCUGUUUUAUUUUCAUCACUCAGGCACAUGGUCCUGGUCACAAAAGCAUAUCAAGCACCAUCCAAUUCCUCAUGAAUUAAUUUUAUAUUAGGAAUCUCAGGCAGCAUGUACAGUCUUUUGUAAGAUCGUGUGAACCAUGUAUGAGAACACAUCCGAAUAUUCCACACAAAUCACAGCACGAACAUUUGCCCCCUCCAGCAGCUCCUUUUACACACUUACAGAUUGAUUUUACUCAUGUACCUAAAAUUGGUAAGAAACAGCUAAUACUUACUGGUCAUAGUUGAUCAGUUUAGUAGAUGGCCUGAGGCCUUUUUGACAUCUAGGGAAGAUGCUAGGACUGUAGUGAAGAUUCUUGCUACUGAAAUUAUUCCCAGGUAUGGCUGCCGUCUGCAGAUUAACUCUGAUAAUGGCCCGGCAUUUGCUAGUAAGGUUACCCAGGAACUUGCUAAAUUCUUGCAAGUUACCUGGAAGUUUCAUAUACCCUAUCAUCCACAGAGUUCAGGGGUAGUUGAAAGGAUGAAUAGGACCAUUAAGGAGAAGCUUAUGAAAGCUACUGCAGGAACAUGGGUAAAUUGGACAAAAUAUCUUCCAGCUAUUUUAGCUGAGAUAAGAAUGACUCCCCACAAGGUGACUAAAUUAUCUCCAUUUGAGAUUCUGAUGGGACGACCUUUUCCCACACCCUGGGCCAGGGAGCCACUUGUUAUAAUGUCUGGGGAUUUACAGCUAAUACAAGAACAAUAUGUACAGGAAUUGUUGAUAAAACUGAAUGGUAUAUAUGGCAAUGUUUCUUCGCAGUUUCCCUUACCUUCACAGGAACCUACUCAUCCAUACCAGCCCGGUGACAAGGUGUAUAUCCGUCAGCUGAACAGGACCAAGAAAGGAGGAUACCCUUUCGGACCACCUGCUACUGUGAUUGCUGUAACCAGAACCGCUGUCCUCACAGAUUCCCACGACAUCUGGAUUCACGCAUCCCGAGUGAAGCUGUGUCCAAAGAGGGGAACCAAGGAAGACAACACCUCAUCUCACUUGGAAAGAGAAGAAUUUGCCCUUAGCGAAGCAUCAUGGCUUUCACACCAUAUCGUAGAUUGAGAGGAUCAUACGAACCUGAGACCAAGAUUAUGUUUUGCGCUAUGCUUUCUGGAGUUGUUAUACUCCCUCUGAUAUUGUUCCUUGAAUGCCAUUAUGAGUACAAGUCAAUGGGAAGUUUGAAACCUGUUUGUUUCUGGAGAAAUGACUCUGACAUGAUGAUCAAUUCUUCAAUACCCCCAGCCCAAUUAGGCCUUAGCCCCUCAUCUAGCAUUCGUCACACACGCUCCCACAAGAAUCUCUCUCCACCACCUAUCUAUCAGCAUGUAAUAUGCAAUCACUCAUUGACUGAACACAUAUGGAUGAACUGGAUAAAUAAUAACCCUUAUAAGUACCAGUAACCCAUAUGGAAUGUGUCCACAGCUAAUUAAACCGAUGCAUUAUGUUUGUUUAAAGGUUCACGGAAAAUUGUUAGAUCUUAUAACGCAGAAAUGUGCACAGUUAAGGUUGCUAAUUACACUAGCAUCUGUGCCACCUUAUUUAAUAUAAGUUCUGAUGGUAAGAAAAAACCACCUCACCAUCAUGGGCGUCCGCAGGGGGGGGCAAGGGGGGGCACUUGCCCCCCCCUGGAUUUUUCAGCUUGUUCUGCUAUUUUUCGUGUGAUUGAAAAUGAACUGCAAUACCGGCGCCGGCCAGUAGGUGGCGCUGUGUAUGGAGAGAGACAGGGAUAGGAAGCUGCAUCUUAUCCCUGCUUCUCUCUGCUGAUUGAAACCGC